GGGAGAAGAAAUAUGAUAAUUUUCAAAUCAUUUUUGAUUUUGAUGCAUCUUUUUGCUAUUUUGGCAGCUUCCAAUGGAAUCAGAUCAAUGCCAGAAUCGGAGAACAUUAAUGCCAAAACAAGACGGUGCUUAAGCAAAGCGACAGACAAUAACCUCAGUCGACAGGUACACUGUAC
Molecule: long non-coding RNA, 176 nt
Organism: Saccostrea echinata
Lineage: Eukaryota; Metazoa; Mollusca; Bivalvia; Ostreida; Ostreidae
Exons: 3
Source: RefSeq, a predicted model, not a curated record